GAUGAACGCUAGCGGGAGGCUUAACACAUGCAAGUCGAGGGGCAUCACGGGUAGCAAUACCUGGUGGCGACCGGCAGACGGGUGAGUAACGCGUAUGUAACCUACCCUCUACAGGGGGAUAACCCGGAGAAAUUCGGACUAAUAUCCCAUAAUGAUAUCUGGGGGCAUCUUCGGAUAUUUAAAGUUCCGGCGGUACAGGAUGGGCAUGCGUAACAUUAGCUAGUUGGUAAGGUAACGGCUUACCAAGGCUUUGAUGUUUAGGGGUCCUGAGAGGGUGGUCCCCCACACUGGUACUGAGACACGGACCAGACUCCUACGGGAGGCAGCAGUGAGGAAUAUUGGUCAAUGGGCGCAAGCCUGAACCAGCCAUCCCGCGUGCAGGAAGACGGCCCUAUGGGUUGUAAACUGCUUUUUCCAGGGAGAGAAACUUGCGUACGCGUUGCGCAAUUGACGGUACCCGGAGAAGAAGCCCCCGGCUAACUUCGUGCCAGCAGCCGCGGUAAU
Molecule: ribosomal RNA, 504 nt
Filed under: uncultured bacterium
Lineage: Bacteria
Description: bacterial SSU rRNA
Rfam family: Bacterial small subunit ribosomal RNA
Source: RNAcentral